UUGAGCAAUUUAGCUGAUCGCACGGUCUAAGCACCGGCGACAUAUCCUUCAAACGUCUGCCUUAUCAACUGUCGAUGGUAGAUUAUGCGCCUACCAUGGUUGUAACGGGUAACGGAGAAUCAGGGUUUGAUUCCGGAGAGGGAGCCUGAAAAACGGCUACCACAUCCAAGGAAGGCAGCAGGCACGCAAAUUACCCACUCCCGGCACGGGGAGGUAGUGACGAAAAAUAACAAGCUGGUCUCUAUGAGUUCUGGCAUUGUAAUGGGAACAAUCUAAAUCAUUUAUCGAGGAUCUAUUGGAGGGCAAGUCUGGUGCCAGCAGCCGCGGUAAUUCCAGCUCCAAUAGCGUAUAUUAAAGUUGUUGCGGUUAAAAAG
Molecule: ribosomal RNA, 374 nt
Filed under: Nematoda sp.
Lineage: Eukaryota; Metazoa; Nematoda
Description: SSU rRNA
Rfam family: Eukaryotic small subunit ribosomal RNA
Source: RNAcentral